RNAcentral lists this ribosomal RNA (209 nucleotides) under uncultured bacterium. Its description in RNAcentral is "partial 16S ribosomal RNA". It matches the Rfam family "Bacterial small subunit ribosomal RNA", at positions 524 to 731 of the family's 1533-position model. The record is from RNAcentral.
UACGGAGGUGGCAAGCGUUGCUCGGAAUCACUGGGCGUAAAGGGCGCGUAGGCGGGGAGGUAAGUCGGGUGUGAAAUCCCUCGGCUCAACCGAGGAACUGCGCCCGAGACUGCUUCUCUUGAGUCCCGGAGAGGAAGGUGGAAUUCCCGGUGUAGCGGUGAAAUGUGUAGAGAUCGGGAGGAACACCGGUGGCGAAGGGCGGCCUUCUG